Molecule: ribosomal RNA, 374 nt
Filed under: uncultured organism
Description: partial 16S ribosomal RNA
Rfam family: Bacterial small subunit ribosomal RNA
Source: RNAcentral
GGAAGGUGCAAGCGUUAAUCGGAAUCACUGGGGCGUAAAGCGCGCGUAGGCGGUCAGAUAAGUCGGGUGUGAAAGCCCUGGGGCUCAACCUGGGGAACUGCAUUCGAUACUGUCUGACUAGAGUGUGAUAGAGGGAGGCGGAAUUCCGCAUGUAGCGGUGAAAUGCGUAGAGAUGCGGAGGAACACCAAUGGCGAAGGCAGCCUCCUGGAUCAACACUGACGCUGAAGCGCGAAAGCGUGGGGAGCAAACAGGAUUAGAUACCCUGGUAGUCCACGCCGUAAACGAUGUCAACUAGCCGUUGGGAGCAUUUUGGCUUUUGGUGGCGUAGCUAACGCGAUAAGUUGACCGCCUGGGGAGUACGGUCGCAAGAUUA